AGUGAACGCUGGCGGUAGGCCUAACACAUGCAAGUCGAACGGCAGCACAGUAAUAGCUUGCUCUUACGGGUGGCGAGUGGCGGACGGGUGAGGAAUACAUCCGAAUCUACUUUUUCGUACGGGAUAACGUAGGGGAACUUACGCUAAUACCGCAUACGACCUACGGGUGAAAGCAUCGGAUCUUCGGACCUUGCGCGAUUGAAUGACGCGAUGUCGGAUUAGCUAGUUGGCGGGGUAAAGGCCCACCAAGGCGACGAUCCGUAGCUGGUCUGAGAGGAUGAUCAGCCACACUGGAACUGAGACACGGUCCAGACUCCUACGGGAGGCAGCAGUGGGGAAUAUUGGACAAUGGGCGCAAGCCUGAUCCAGCCAUACCGCGUGGGUGAAGAAGGCCUUCGGGUUGUAAAGCCCUUUUGUUGGGAAAGAAAAGCAGCAGGUUAAUACCCCGCUGUUCUGACGGUACCCAAAGAAUAAGCACCGGCUAACUUCGUG
RNAcentral lists this ribosomal RNA (492 nucleotides) under uncultured bacterium. RNAcentral describes it as "partial 16S ribosomal RNA". It matches the Rfam family "Bacterial small subunit ribosomal RNA", at positions 29 to 507 of the family's 1533-position model. The record is from RNAcentral.